UACGGAGGGGGCAAGCGUUGUUCGGAAUUACUGGGCGUAAAGGGCGCGCAGGCGGCUGCUCAAGUCAGGCGUGAAAGGCCUGGGCUCAACCCGGGAAUUGCGCUUGAGACUGGGCUGGCUUGAAUGUGGGAGAGGGUAGUAGAAUUCCAGGUGUAGUGGUGAAAUACGUAGAUAUCUGGAGGAAUACCGGUGGCGAAGGCGGCUACCUGGCCCAACAUUGACACUGAGACCCGAAAGCGUGGGGAUCAAACAGG
RNAcentral lists this ribosomal RNA (254 nucleotides) under uncultured bacterium. Its description in RNAcentral is "partial 16S ribosomal RNA". It matches the Rfam family "Bacterial small subunit ribosomal RNA", at positions 524 to 776 of the family's 1533-position model. The record is from RNAcentral.